RNAcentral lists this ribosomal RNA (459 nucleotides) under uncultured bacterium. RNAcentral describes it as "SSU rRNA". It matches the Rfam family "Bacterial small subunit ribosomal RNA", at positions 26 to 518 of the family's 1533-position model. The record is from RNAcentral.
AGAAUCAACGCUGGCGGCGUGCCUAACACAUGCAAGUCGAACGAGAAAGUGGAGCAAUCCACAAGUAAAGUGGCGCACGGGUGAGUAACACGUGACUAACCUACCCUUGAGUGGGGGAUAACCUAGAGAAAUCUGGGCUAAUACCGCAUAAUACCUUCGGGUCAAAGGAGCAAUUCGCUUAAGGAGGGGGUCGCGGCCGAUUAGUUAGUUGGCGGGGUAAUGGCCCACCAAGACUAUGAUCGGUAUCCGGCCUGAGAGGGCGCACGGACACACUGGAACUGAAACACGGUCCAGACUCCUACGGGAGGCAGCAGUGGGGAAUUUUGCGCAAUGGGGGAAACCCUGACGCAGCAACGCCGCGUGGAGGAUGAAGCCCCUUGGGGCGUAAACUCCUUUCGAUCGGGACGAUAAUGACGGUACCGAGAGAAGAGCCCCGGCUAACUUCGUGCUAGCAGCCGC